Molecule: ribosomal RNA, 253 nt
Filed under: uncultured bacterium
Lineage: Bacteria
Description: partial 16S ribosomal RNA
Rfam family: Bacterial small subunit ribosomal RNA
Source: RNAcentral
UACAGAGGUCCCGAGCGUUGUUCGGAUUCACUGGGCGUAAAGGGUGCGUAGGUGGUGGGGUAAGUCGGAUGUGAAAUCUCCAAGCUCAACUUGGAAACUGCAUUGGAAACUACCUUGCUUGAGGAUUUGAGGGGGGAUUGGAAUACUUGGUGUAGCAGUGAAAUGCGUAGAUAUCAAGUGGAACACCAGUGGCGAAGGCGAAUCCCUGGAAAAUACCUGACACUGAGGCACGAAAGCUAGGGGAGCAAACAGG